RNAcentral lists this small RNA (3254 nucleotides) under Pan troglodytes (chimpanzee). RNAcentral describes it as "retained intron". Lineage: Eukaryota; Metazoa; Chordata; Mammalia; Primates; Hominidae. The record is from RNAcentral.
GGCGGGGCCCGAGCCGGAGAAGAUGGCGGUGCGGAAGAAGGACGGCGGCCCCAACGUGAAGUACUACGAGGCCGCGGACACCGUGACCCAGUUCGACAACGUGCGGCUGUGGCUCGGCAAGAACUACAAGAAGUAUAUACAAGCUGAACCACCCACCAACAAGUCUCUGUCUAGCCUGGUUGUACAGUUGCUACAAUUUCAGGAAGAAGUUUUUGGCAAACAUGUCAGCAAUGCACCGCUCACUAAACUGCCGGUGAGUGCAGAAGUAGCAGGGAGGGUGGGGGGUGGUGGUGGUGAAUCCUUCAAACUGAAGAGUUGUAUUUUAAAAAAAGAUUUGUGAACUUUGUAAUUUUUGAAAUUUGGGUUAUUUUCCACCAUCCCUAUCCCUGAUCAGGGCAUUAUUGGCUUGGCCUAGUCUCCAGUUUACCAUUCUUUUUGUCUUAGUAAUAUUUUGUGCAACAAAUUAUUUCAGAGUACCUGGGAUCAGUCCACAGGUCUCUCAUGGCAUGGUUAAAAGGGGACUUGAGAUUUGGAUUUGUGCAGGCUUGUGUUCAAAUCCUGGCUUUGCCAUUGGAUGGCUCUGUGAUCUUGGGCAACAUUCAUGAGUCUUGGUUCCUUCAUCUCUAGAUGGGAUUAGUAAACCUACCUUGUAGAGUUUCUAUAAUGGUACCUGAGGUAAUCCAGUAAAGUGUUAGCACAAGGUGGUGCUUUCUGUAUGUUGGUUUCUUUCACUCCCCUCUUCCAGGCCACAUGAUGCAAUGGCACAAGGGUUAAAGAAUUUCAGCUUUGAGGCCGGGCGUGGUGGCUCACGCCUGUAAUCCCAGCACUUUGGGAGGCCGAGGUGGGUGGAUCAUUUGAGGUCAGGAGUUUGAGACCAGCCUGGCCAACUUGGCAAAACCCCAUCUCUACUAAAAUACAAAAAUUAGCCGGGCAUGGUGGCGGGCAUCUGUAAUCUCAGCUACUUGGGAGGCUGAGGCAGGAGAAUGGCUUGCACACAGGAGGCAGAGGUUGCAGCUGGCCAAGAUCGCGCCAGUGCACUCCAGCCUGGGCAACAGAGCGGGACUCCCUCUCAAAAAAAAAAAAAAAAAAGGCCGGGUGUGGUGGCUCAUGCCUGUAAUCCCAGCACUUUGGGAGGCCGAGGCAGGUGGAUCACCUGAGGUCAGGAGUUCAAGACCAGUUUGACCAAUAUGGUGAAACCUCAUCUCUACUUACUAAAAAUACAAAAAUUAGCCACGUGAGGUGGUGUGUGCCUAUAGUCCCAGCUACUGGGGAGGCUGAGACAGGAGAAUUGCUUGAACCUGGGAGGCAGAGGUUGCAGUGAGCUGUGAUCGCGCCACUGCACUCCAGCCUAGGUGACAGAGCAAGACUCCAUCUCAAAACACAAACAAAAAAGUCACGUGCCCUCACCUCAUCUGCAGACCUGAGCUAUACCACUCACUAGAUUAUUGCCUCUUCACAAGGCGGCGUUACGAUUUCCAGAAUCCAUCACGCAUGGACCGCAAUGUGGAAAUGUUUAUGACCAUUGAGAAGUCCUUGGUGCAGGUAAUAGGCAUAUACCCUAUUUAUCUCCCUUCCCUCAGUGAGAAUCUAAAACACCCCUUUCCUAUAAUCUCAUUCUGUCUAUUUCUUCUCUCCACAGAAUAAUUGCCUGUCUCGACCUAACAUUUUUCUGUGCCCAGAAAUUGAGCCCAAACUACUAGGGAAAUUAAAGGACAUUAUCAAGAGACACCAGGUAAAUGGUCUGGUGAGGAGAGGUUUCAGAAACUCCAUGACUGUUUUCCCAAUGUUUUCUAUACCAAGCAGCAGCCCUGAAUUACCAUGUUUUCUGCUUCAGAGGUGGCUCUGUCUACUUGGAAAAAGACUUGAGUUAAAGCCUUGAGUCUGUCUUUUUCUGUCUGCUUCUCCCAUUUUUCAGUCCUGACAGGUUUGCAUUACUGUUCUAGAGACUAUGUUGGCCUGGGGAAAAAUAGUAUCCACUUCUACUGAGCUAGAGAUUGCGUGAUCUCAGAUAAAUGAAAUUCCUGCUCUUUGGAACUUUGUAAUAAUGAAUAGAUGUCAUUGAUAAGGAUGUACAGUUGACUUUAAAUUUCCCAUGUAUAGAUUAUCUGUUCAGAAGAUUAUUUGUGGCAAUUUUUAAUUCUUUGACUUUUCUCCAUUAUUAGCACAAUCCCAGCUGUUUCCCUCUGCCACUUAGCUGGUGUGUGCUUAGAGAAUACAAACUAACUUUAAUACUAUUAUAAGCAAAAUAUGGUUAGGAAGGCAGCUCUGUGGCUAAACCUUGAGUAAUUCAGAGGGGACCAUAAUUUACCCGCUUCUCCUUUUACCAUCCAGGGAACAGUCACUGAGGAUAAGAACAAUGCCUCCCAUGUUGUGUAUCCUGUCCCGGGGAAUCUAGAAGAAGGUGAGACCUGGGUUUUCCUGUCCACUUGAGUGGAUGGUUUGGACUAGGAGGCAGAGGACUAAGAUCACCAUUCAGUACCUGGGCUCCUCCUCUUCUUUCAAUCUUGAAUCCUCCUACCACCUUAAGUUCCUAUUACCAAGUCCCCUGCUACAACAGGAGAGUGCAUUAGUUAGGGCUUUUGUACAGUAUUUUUUUUGUGUCCCCCUUUAGCUUAUAUCUCUCCCUUCUCUUCCUCUAUCCCCAGAGGAAUGGGUACGACCAGUCAUGAAGAGGGAUAAGCAGGUUCUUCUGCACUGGGGCUACUAUCCUGACAGGUGAGGAUGGGUUCCUGGGGCAGGUUUAAGUAUAAGAGCCAGACCCAGAAGCCCUAGGACAUCUAGCAGAGCAAGAGGCCACUCUUUCAGAGUUAUUUUUAGAUCACUUAAUUUGUUUUCCUCUCACCUAGUAAGUGAACCUCUGUCUUAGGGGAGGUUUGGACUUAGUGGACAAGCCUUGGGCUAAAAGGAUUGAGGCUUUAUGUGUGAAUUGAUUAUCCCAGCAUCAUUUUCGAUAAGUAAAUGUUAGAAACAAUCUAAAUGUCUAACAGUAGGAAAAUGUUUCAGUAAAUUUGUAUAUCUACUCAGUGGACUAUUAUGCAGUCUUUAAAGUGAUAUAACAUGGAUAAUUUAUAAGUGAAUAUUAUUAAUAAUUGCAAAAAGUAGCAUGUAGGCCUGGCAUGGUGGCUCACGCCUGUAGUCCCAGCACUUUGGGAGGCCAAGGCAGGUGGAUCACCUGAGGUUAGGAGUUCGAGACCAGCCUGGCCAACAUGCUGAAACCCCGUCUCUACUAAAAAUACAAAAAAAAAAAAAAAAAA